Molecule: unclassified non-coding RNA, 196 nt
Filed under: uncultured fungus
Lineage: Eukaryota; Fungi
Description: sequence contains ITS2
Source: RNAcentral
AAUUCUCAACCGCCGGAUGUUUCGACCUCCGGUUGGCUUGGACUUGGAGUGUGCUGGCGAAAGUCGGCUCCUCUCAAAUGCAUCAGCGGAAUUCAACCUUUGGCUUCCGGACAUCAGUGUGAUAACAACGUUGCGCUGUCGUCUGAAAUCGAAGAGUCCGCUUCAUAAUGGUCUUCGGACAAACAUUGACAAUCAG